AUUGAACGCUGGCGGCAGGCCUAACACAUGCAAGUCGAACGAGUGGCGGACGGGUGAGUAAUAUCUGGGACACUGCCUGAUGGAGGGGGAUAACUACUGGAAACGGUAGCUAAUACCGCAUACCAUCGGAUGUGCCCAGAUGGGAUUAGCUAUUAGGUGGGGUAAAGGCUCACCUAGGCGACGAUCCCUAGCUGGUCUGAGAGGAUGACCAGCCACACUGGAACUGAGACACGGUCCAGACUCCUACGGGAGGCUGCAGUUUGGAAUAUUGCACAAUGGUCGCAAUCCUGAUGCAGCCAUGCCGCGUGGAUGAAGAAUGCCGUCGGGUUGUAAAGUACUUUCAGCGGGGAGGCAUUACCCGAAGAAGAAGCACCGGCUAACUCCGUGCCAGCAGCCGCGGUAAUUC
Molecule: ribosomal RNA, 406 nt
Filed under: uncultured bacterium
Lineage: Bacteria
Description: partial 16S ribosomal RNA
Rfam family: Bacterial small subunit ribosomal RNA
Source: RNAcentral